RNAcentral lists this ribosomal RNA (495 nucleotides) under uncultured bacterium. RNAcentral's name for it is "partial 16S ribosomal RNA". It matches the Rfam family "Bacterial small subunit ribosomal RNA", at positions 28 to 507 of the family's 1533-position model. The record is from RNAcentral.
GACGAACGCUGGCGGCGUGCCUAAUACAUGCAAGUAGAACGCUGAAGGAGGAGCUUGCUUCUCUGGAUGAGUUGCGAACGGGUGAGUAACGCGUAGGUAACCUGCCUGGUAGCGGGGGAUAACUAUUGGAAACGAUAGCUAAUACCGCAUAAGAGUAGAUGUCGCAUGACAUUUGCUUAAAAGGUGCAAUUGCAUCACUACCAGAUGGACCUGCGUUGUAUUAGCUAGUUGGUGAGGUACCGGCUCACCAAGGCAACGAUACAUAGCCGACCUGAGAGGGUGAUCGGCCACGCUGGGACUGAGACACGGCCCAGACUCCUACGGGAGGCAGCAGUAGGGAAUCUUCGGCAAUGGACGGAAGUCUGACCGAGCAACGCCGCGUGAGUGAAGAAGGUUUUCGGAUCGUAAAGCUCUGUUGUAAGAGAAGAACGAGUGUGAGAGUGGAAAGUUCACACUGUGACGGUAUCUUACCAGAAAGGGACGGCUAACUACGUG